CCACUUCAACUUCGAGAUGGUUUUGUAGACUUGCUUACCCAAGUCUUGUUGUUGCGAAAGAGAAAUGCCCUGUUCGGGGUAGAAGUUUCGCUUCAACAUGUAGUCUUGAAAUUGUUCCUUUGCCGCUUUAUUCCAAAAGGUUACUGGCUCCUUUUUCUGCACUGGCCUAGGUGAUUCCGAUUCACGAAUUGCGAUGGCAGAUGACACAUGUUCUUUAG
RNAcentral lists this long non-coding RNA (218 nucleotides) under Gossypium barbadense (sea-island cotton). RNAcentral's name for it is "long non-coding RNA (GBAR_LNC015416)". Lineage: Eukaryota; Viridiplantae; Streptophyta; Magnoliopsida; Malvales; Malvaceae. The record is from RNAcentral.